RNAcentral lists this unclassified non-coding RNA (250 nucleotides) under plant metagenome. Its description in RNAcentral is "partial contains small subunit ribosomal RNA and internal transcribed spacer 1". The stretch from base 1 to 46 matches the Rfam family "Eukaryotic small subunit ribosomal RNA", at positions 1786 to 1831 of the family's 1831-position model. The record is from RNAcentral.
AAGUCGUAACAAGGUUUCCGUAGGUGAACCUGCGGAAGGAUCAUUAAUGAGUGAGGGUCUCCGGGCCCGAACCUCCAACCCUUUGUCGUUACAAAAAACCUUUGUUGCUUUGGCGGGACCGCCGGCCCCCCCUUCGCGGGGGGGGCGGGGCUGCCGGUCUUCGGCCCGGUAUGCGCCCGCCAGAGGUAAAAAACCAAACUCUUGUUAUAAAAACAGUACGUCUGAGUAAAAAAGAUUUAAUCAAUCAAAA